RNAcentral lists this ribosomal RNA (449 nucleotides) under uncultured Leptolinea sp. RNAcentral's name for it is "bacterial SSU rRNA". It matches the Rfam family "Bacterial small subunit ribosomal RNA", at positions 920 to 1382 of the family's 1533-position model. Lineage: Bacteria; Bacillati; Chloroflexota; Anaerolineae; Anaerolineales; Anaerolineaceae. The record is from RNAcentral.
CCCGCACAAGCAGCGGAGCGUGUGGUUUAAUUCGAUGCUACACGAAGAACCUUACCAGGGUUUGACAUGCAAGUGGUAGGAAACCGAAAGGCGACCGACCCUUCGGGGAGCUUGCACAGGUGCUGCAUAGCUGUCGUCAGCUCGUGUCGUGAGAUGUUCGGUUAAGUCCGCUAACGAGCGCAACCCUCGCUGUGUGUUACAAGUGUCACACGGUACUGCCGGUCUUAAGCCGGAGGAAGGUGGGGAUGACGUCAAGUCAGCAUGGCCUUUAUGUCCUGGGCUACACACACGCUACAAUGGCCAACACAAUAGGUUGCUAAGCCGCGAGGUGGAGCCAAUCCUCAAAGUUGGUCUCAGUUCAGAUUGCAGGCUGCAACCCGCCUGCAUGAAGAUGGAGUUGCUAGUAACCGCAGGUCAGCUAUACUGCGGUGAAUACGUUCCCGGGGCUU